Non-coding RNA from Puma concolor (puma), 454 nucleotides. NCBI's taxonomy places the organism in Eukaryota, Metazoa, Chordata, Mammalia, Carnivora, Felidae. The record is from RefSeq and is a predicted model, not a curated record.
UUCAGUGCUGGCUUUGGGCGAUUUGUUGCGACUUUGCUGCAUUUCAUUUUAUCUUCCAUGCGUUUAAUGGCUGAGGAAAUAGCGGGACGGGGAGGUGGGGUCACCUUGCAGGCACACAGGGCAGGUGACUUGGUGAUGGGUCGGCGCCCCCAGCCUUUGGCCUGGCCAUUCCCACCUGCGAGGAAUGCCUUGCCUUCUCCAUGCAAAUGCGACGUGGGAUCCUGGUUUGGAUCCUGGGACACAAAAAAGGAAGGCAGCGGAAGAAGCAGUGAAAUCUGAGUAAAGUCUGGAGUUUAAUACCAAGUGCCAAAGUUCCUCGCGGUGACAGCUGAACCACGCCUGUGUAAGUUGUUACCUUAAGAGAAACUGAGUGGGGAGGCUACAGCAAAGCUCACGCAAUCUUUGCUACUUUUCUGUAAAUCUAACAUUAUAAUAAAAACUUCAUUUUAGAACA